RNAcentral lists this ribosomal RNA (402 nucleotides) under Triticum aestivum (bread wheat). Its description in RNAcentral is "partial small subunit ribosomal RNA". The record is from RNAcentral. Lineage: Eukaryota; Viridiplantae; Streptophyta; Magnoliopsida; Poales; Poaceae.
AUGCUUCAUGAAGAGCGUGAGCGCCAGCUUGGGCGCCACCGGGUGUCCCUGGACGACGUCGACGCGGUAGCGGCGGAGGAUGGAGGCGGCGGCGAACUUCAUCUGGUAGUAGGCGAAGUCCUUGCCGAGGCAGAGGCGCGGGCCGCCGUUGAAGGCGGUGAACUUGUAGGCGGACUCGCCCAUGAAGCGGUCGUCCUUGAGCCACCGCUCCGGCCUGUACUCCCUGCAGUCCUCCCCCCAGAUGCUCUCCAUCCUCCCCAUGGAGUACAUGGCGUAGAUCACCUUGGUGCCCUUCUUCAGCACCGUGCCGUCGGGGAACACCUCGUCCUCCACAACCUGAUGGAUGGACGGAUCAUGAGAAAAUUAUGUACGGGUUAUCAUGGUGACAUGCUAACUUGUUGA